This 70-nucleotide transfer RNA is filed under the name Dipodomys ordii (Ord's kangaroo rat). It matches the Rfam family "tRNA". Rfam says of the family: Transfer RNA (tRNA) molecules are approximately 80 nucleotides in length. The record is from Rfam by way of RNAcentral. Lineage: Eukaryota; Metazoa; Chordata; Mammalia; Rodentia; Heteromyidae.
GGGAAUGUGGCUCAGUGGUAGAGUGCUUGCUUACCAUGCAUGAUACCUUGGGUUCAAUAUCUCAGUACCA